This is a non-coding RNA of Potamilus streckersoni, 77 nucleotides long. Lineage: Eukaryota; Metazoa; Mollusca; Bivalvia; Unionida; Unionidae. The record is from the annotation of a GenBank genome assembly.
GACCGCUCCGGUUCCUUAGUAGUUAGAACGUCCGCUUCGGAUGCGGGAGGUUGCGGGUUCGAUCCCCGGCCGAGUCA